UAAACCGGUAUACAUAAACCAAUAAGAGCCAACGCAAAAAAUAAAGAUCCCAAAUUUCCAGUUUUGUGUUUUCAAAAGAGUUAUUCUUGGGUUUACCCCCUAGGGUGAACCUCUAGAUUCACCAACCAAUAUAAUUUUAUUAUUUCAAAUUCGAUAUCUUUUAGAAAAAGAAACAAAAUAUUGUCAAGUUAUAUUAUGGUUUUAAAAUAAAAUAAAAAGUAAAAAAAAUAGUAGUUACAGA
Molecule: long non-coding RNA, 241 nt
Filed under: Brassica napus (rape)
Lineage: Eukaryota; Viridiplantae; Streptophyta; Magnoliopsida; Brassicales; Brassicaceae
Description: long non-coding RNA (BNAP_LNC012251)
Source: RNAcentral